CAACCCGGGUUGCCUUAGUAACGGCGAGUGAAGCGGCAAAAGCUCAAAUUUGAAAUCUGGUACCUUCGGUGCCCGAGUUGUAAUUUGGAGAGGGCAACUUUGGGGCCGUUCCUUGUCUAUGUUCCUUGGAACAGGACGUCAUAGAGGGUGAGAAUCCCGUGUGGCGAGGAGUGCGGUUCUUUGUAAAGUGCCCUCGAAGAGUCGAGUUGUUUGGGAAUGCAGCUCUAAGUGGGUGGUAAAUUCCAUCUAAAGCUAAAUAUUGGCGAGAGACCGAUAGCGAACAAGUACAGUGAUGGAAAGAUGAAAAGAACUUUGAAAAGAGAGUGAAAAAGUACGUGAAAUUGUUGAAAGGGAAGGGCAUUUGAUCAGACAUGGUGUUUUGUGCCCUCUGCUCCUUGUGGGUAGGGGAAUCUCGCAUUUCACUGGGCCAGCAUCAGUUUUGGUGGCAGGAUAAAUCCAUAGGAAUGUAGCUUGCCUCGGUAAGUAUUAUAGCCUGUUGGGAAUACUGCCAGCUGGGACUGAGGACUGCGACGUAAGUCAAGGAUGCUGGCAUAAUGGUUAUAUGCCGCCCGUCUUGAAACACGGGACCA
RNAcentral lists this ribosomal RNA (590 nucleotides) under Saccharomyces cf. cerevisiae/paradoxus. RNAcentral describes it as "LSU rRNA". It matches the Rfam family "Eukaryotic large subunit ribosomal RNA", at positions 66 to 664 of the family's 3401-position model. Lineage: Eukaryota; Fungi; Ascomycota; Saccharomycetes; Saccharomycetales; Saccharomycetaceae. The record is from RNAcentral.